UACGAAGGGGGCUAGCGUUGCUCGGAAUCACUGGGCGUAAAGGGUGUGUAGGCGGGGUUUUAAGUCAGGGGUGAAAUCCUGGAGCUCAACUCCAGAACUGCCUUUGAUACUGAAGAUCUUGAGUCCGGGAGAGGUGAGUGGAACUGCGAGUGUAGAGGUGAAAUUCGUAGAUAUUCGCAAGAACACCAGUGGCGAAGGCGGCUCACUGGCCCGGUACUGACGCUGAGGCACGAAAGCGUGGGGAGCAAACAGG
Molecule: ribosomal RNA, 253 nt
Filed under: uncultured bacterium
Lineage: Bacteria
Description: partial 16S ribosomal RNA
Rfam family: Bacterial small subunit ribosomal RNA
Source: RNAcentral